Molecule: long non-coding RNA, 636 nt
Filed under: Mytilus galloprovincialis (Mediterranean mussel)
Lineage: Eukaryota; Metazoa; Mollusca; Bivalvia; Mytilida; Mytilidae
Source: RNAcentral
UGGCAGUAAAUUUUUAUACACUAAAUUUAUGGGCUACUGUUUCAUCUUGUGUAGGUUUUAUUUCUUAUCAAUGGUGUAAUAAGAAACCGAAAAUUUCCAUGGUCUUUGUCUAGGAAUUAUGCAAGUUUUCGAUUACAGGCAGUCAAGGUCAGCAUGGUCAUGGCAUGAUCAGGGUCAAUACUAAUUAUCAUUGGCCACAAAUAUUUUAAUUGACCAAUGAGGUUAAAGUGCAUGCUAACUUUCAACAAGCGUCAAGUUGCGCCCGCAUUAUCGCAAUUGCACUGAAUGCUACUAGACGCUAUUUUUGUUUUGCCAGAAAAGUAAAGAUUUUCAAUUUCCCACCCACCUACACCCUCUUUUUUAAGUUUUUAGUAUUAUUCUAUCAUAUCUAUGUUGAUUGUAUAUAAUUGUUUGUUUAUGUUUUGUAAUUUGUUUAUUGAUGAGUGGCGGUAUUUAUUCCCCACCUUUGCAAUUGUUGUCAUUUAUUCAGUUUUGUUUGAUGACAUAGUUGUCCAUCACUGUCAGUUAUAUAAUGCUUUAUGAUAUUCUGAAUAAAUGACCUUUUUCACAAAUCUUGAGUUAGAUAUUCUGCAAAUGAACUCGCAUCCUUGGUUUCCAUUUUCAUGUCUUUAUGUG